RNAcentral lists this unclassified non-coding RNA (302 nucleotides) under uncultured Penicillium. RNAcentral describes it as "sequence contains ITS1". The stretch from base 1 to 105 matches the Rfam family "5.8S ribosomal RNA", at positions 50 to 154 of the family's 154-position model. Lineage: Eukaryota; Fungi; Ascomycota; Eurotiomycetes; Eurotiales; Aspergillaceae. The record is from RNAcentral.
GAAAUGCGAUAAUUAAUGUGAAUUGCAGAAUUCAGUGAAUCAUCGAGUCUUUGAACGCACAUUGCGCCCCCUGGUAUUCCGGGGGGCAUGCCUGUCCGAGCGUCAUUGCUGCCCUCAAGCCCGGCUUGUGUGUUGGGCCCUGUUCCCCCGGGAACAGGCCCGAAAGGCAGUGGCGGCACCGCGUCCGAUCCUCGAGCGUAUGGGGCUUUGUCACCCGCUCUGUAGGCCCGGCCGGCGCUUGCCCCCAUCAAUCUUUUUUUCAGGUUGACCUCGGAUCAGGUAGGGAUACCCGCUGAACUUAA